This is an RNA transcript of Colossoma macropomum (tambaqui), 5121 nucleotides long. It is a transcript of the gene named ALG2 alpha-1,3/1,6-mannosyltransferase, with no coding region annotated. The record is from RefSeq and is a predicted model, not a curated record. NCBI's taxonomy places the organism in Eukaryota, Metazoa, Chordata, Actinopteri, Characiformes, Serrasalmidae. The transcript is spliced from 5 exons.
CCUGAGUUUAAUACGAUAUUAACCAGCAUGUGCGAAAUUUGAGCCAUUAUGGAAGCGCGAUAGAGUCACUGCAAGCAGCCUUAUACAGUAACUGAUCCAGGAUGGUCCAGGUGGUGUUCCUGCACCCUGAUCUGGGUAUAGGAGGUGCGGAGCGGCUGGUGGUGGAUGCUGCUGUGGCGUUGAUGUCUCGUGGCUGCAGCGUCCAGAUCUGGACAGCACACUAUGACCCACAGCACUGCUUCUCAGAGACACUCUCGCCGGACCUACCUGUGGUGUGUGUAGGCGAUUGGUUACCCACCAGUGUAUUUGGGUAUUUCCAUGCUCUCUGCGCCUACCUGCGCAUGAUUUACGUAGCAUUUUAUCUGGUGUUUCUGAGUGGCGAGGAAUUUGAUGUUGUUUUCUGUGAUCAGGUCUCAGCAUGUAUUCCUGUCUUGCGUCUGGCGCGCCACCGGAAGAAGGUCCUUUUCUACUGUCACUUCCCUGACCAGUUACUGACUCAGCGUCGCUCGCUGCUGAAGCGCCUCUACCGUGUGCCCAUCGACCAUCUGGAGGAGCUGACCACAGGCAUGGCCGACCGCAUUGUGGUUAACAGCAAAUUCACUGCUGGCGUGUUCAAACAGACCUUCCCCAACCUGGCUGAGAUCCACACAGACGUCCUGUACCCUUCUCUGAACUUUGCUUCUUUCGAUGUAGAGGUGGAAGAAGACCUUACUGGCCUGGUUCCUGAGGGCCGACGUGUCCUUUUCCUUUCCAUUAACCGCUACGAGAGAAAGAAGAACCUGCUGUUAGCAUUGCAGGCAUUAGCUGCCUUAAGGGACAGUAUUUCCUCAAGGCAGUGGGACCAGGUGCACCUGGUGAUGGCGGGCGGCUAUGAUGAGCGUGUGGAUGAGAAUGUGCAGCACUACGGUGAACUGCGCUCACUAGCGGCCUCUUUAGGCCUGGAGGAGCAUGUCACCUUCUUGCGCUCUUUCUCAGACCGCCAGAAAGUAGCCCUCCUUCAAAGUAGCACCUGCGUGCUGUACACGCCCAGCAAUGAACACUUCGGGAUUGUGCCUGUGGAGGCCAUGUACACCCGCUGUCCCGUCAUUGCUGUUAGCUCUGGUGGGCCGCUAGAGUCAGUGGCACAUGAGGAAACUGGCUUCUUGUGUGACCCCACACCAGAAAGUUUCUCAGAAGCAAUGGGACGCUUUUUGACAGAUGCGGGACUGAAGCAGCGCAUGGGCCAGGCCGGCCGUGACAGAGUCAUAGAUCGCUUCUCUUUGCAAGCGUUUACUGACCAGCUCCACAGGCAUAUCCUCAGCCUGACCGAUUGAUGCUAUGACAUCAUCCAGACCCAAUGACUCCAGCACCCUCAGCAUUCCACUGUGCAGGUCACCAUGGAGAGACCAAUGAAAGAAUGUGCUCGCUAAUUAGAGAAAAGAGCAGCGAACGAAUGGGUAGUUUUAACCUGUCUAGGACUCGGCUGGUGGGACAAUGCGGACCUCAGCUUGGAUAGGGCCAGAAUGUGGAGCACCCGUCUGACUGAGAGGUUAAUGAAUUACUGUUUGCUGGCUACAUUGAUCGUGCGUGUCAUCUCAGGGGCCUGAAGAGUGUGAGUCUUGCAGAAAUCAUUAAGACUUCCCUGAGGCAUAGAAGGCCCUGUUUGUCCUUCACUGCUGGUACCAUCGUAGACAAUGGGUACUGAUGUUGGACGUUUAGUUCUGGAUCACAAAAGCCACUUCAGAUCAUCCAAAAGGUAUCUCCAUCACUCCAAAGAACACAGUUCCACUGCUCCACAGCCCAAUGCUGGUGAGCUUUAUACCCCUCUAGAUGACACUUGGCAUUGAGCAUGGUGACCUUAAAUUCAUGUGAGGCUGCUCCAGAGUGUCCACCUCCAAUGGUAAAGCUUUUCUCUUGGAAUUAUACAAGCUUUGUGUGUACAAUUAAGCGCUUGUGUCAGCAGUGGGUGCACCGUAAUGUAGCUGAUUUCACUAACUAAAAGAGGUAAAAUCCUUUUGGACAUGUAGUGUAGGUCAUUUGUAAAAGAAUACAUUUUCAACCGUUUUCAUGUUUAUUGUCAAAUCACUUCCUUAUUCAAGAAAAUACUGCUUGCAGUACUGUUGUGAAGGCGACUGGCCAUAACGUGCAACCCACGGGUUAAUAUCACACACAUAGGCUUUAUUACAUACGACUUAAACAGCCUCAUCUUUAAUCCCAUAAUGGAGACGGUCAGAUAUAUCGUUGCAGUGGCCAGUGCAUCUGUUUUGUUGGCAGUUCCAGAGCACCGUUUGCUCAUUAACACGAGGCACAUUAAAUAUGAAGAGCUUAUUUUUACCUGAGCACUGAUUGGGUCUUAAUCAUGCAUUAUAAGAAAGGGCUUAUGAGGCCUGCAAAGGUGUAAAUCAAGCAGGAGCGUUAACCAGGUCAGACUGCAUAACCUUCAGAGCAAGCAGAGGUUACAGAGCACUGCUGCACUUUUUCUUUUGCCACUGUUAGCCAGCCAUAUAGGAAAUGGUUGCGAUGUACUAGGUUGUUUUGAAUGAAAAAUGAAAUCCUAGAAGGUUUAACAUUUAUUUUUUGCAUGAAGCUAGCACAAGAUGUGAUCUGUUCCUGGUGGAUUUAGCGGUUUAUCUUUGUGUUUUGAGCAUGUGAUUUAACAUGCAGACAGCUGGUCUGCAAAACAAUAGUUUGGAGUCAGACAACUUGAUGCUGUGCAAAUCAAGCAUCUUUUUGUUGUUUUUUUUUUACAUUGUCACAUGCCCAUCAGGCUUAAAGUUAGACUGUGUAAGUUUUGUAACCUCUCUUGUGGAAAUGUGUAAUUGCAUGUAAAGUGAGGAAGAACAUUUUGUAAAGUCUUCGGGCCCUUUCCCUAAGCAGAUAAAUCCGAUAGUUGUGAGCACUUUGAAAGAGUUGUGCCUUCUUUCUGAGCCCCUGCAUUUGCCGUUAAUACAUAAAGGCGUUUGAUGUGGACUGAAAAAUGUCUGCGAAACCUAACCUGACACCUCUGACUUUUAAAUUAUUCGGACUUGCAGCGAUGCACAGACACCACAUUUUAGCUUUCUUUUUUUCUGAAUCAGUAAUGCUACUUAUUUAAAUUUUAACAAAAAAUCUUACAUAGUGCAGCUUUAACAUACAAGUAAUUGGAUAGUAAAAUGCAGUGGUGAACAGUGGCUAUUACAGUUAGGCCUUCUUCAGUCUACAUACAUAAUUAAAGCUAUACCAAAUUUACUUUCAUUAGGAAAUCCAGAGUAGUUAGGAAGCUUUGAGAACUGGACAUGAAAUUUUAUAACCUAGGGUCAUGUCAUAUGGUGCUUGGUCCCUAUAAUAGAUAGUUAAGGCUAAUUUUAGUUUUGCUCGACAAUCAUAAAGAUUACACUUAAUCAUAAGCUAUACAAACAAAACAUCACCAACUAAUUACCUACAUACAUACUUUGUAUGGCACAAUAAUGCUGAGGAAUAUGCAAAUGAAAGAAAGGAGCUCCAGUUGAUAAUAUCCAUCCAUCCAUCAUCUAAACCGCUUAUCCUUCUGGGUCGCGGUGGGGUGAUAAUAUAAUAAAAUGAAAAAUAAAAAUCUUGUAGAAAGUAAAAGUAAAAUGGCCACACUUCUCUGGAAGAAGAGUGCCAGUGCACAAAUAUUUUGGCUUCCAACCAAAUGAACAUGGAGAUCUACUGAAUUUUAACAGUGUUAUAUGCCACCUGGGCAGAAUAUAGUUAUAAUUAUAAAUUAUUAAGUAAUAUCAAAAGCUAGCCCAGUUGGGUAAUAUAUAUUAUAUUACCAUAGUAGAUUUGGAACAAAACUUGGCAGGAGAUUAAGCUUCUCAAAUACUGGGUGAUCUUUAUUGACUUUUAAUGUUAUUCCUCAAUGUAACUUGUAUACAUUGAAACGAAAUGAGGUGCUUCGCAUCUAAAUAUACACUGGACUGAAUACACAGAACAGUAAUUAAACGACAAUAAAUGAACAGAACAAAAAUAUAUGUGACAAAUACACAUGAUGCAACUAGACAGGACAGCAAAACUAUAUAGCCCAUAGCAGCAUUCAAAGAUUGAGAUUUUAAAAAUUUAAAGUGCAGGUGUGCAGUGAUGGCAGUGAUGCAAUCAGACAACCUCAGAGUGCUCAGUAGUCUGACUGCCUCAGCGAAGAAGCUAUUGCAGAGUCUGGAGGAGGUGGAAGCAGCGCUCGGCAUAGAGUUUUUCAGGGGCAUAGAGAUGAUCACUCAUGACUGAGACAGUGAACAGUAUUUUUUUUUGUAUUUCUUCAGGAAACAGACAUUAUUUUAUGACAGCACAUAGCUGUGCCAUCUCCAUAGACAAACACUGGUAGAAGAAUGGGUCGUACUGAAGAGUUCAGGGACUUUAAAUGCGACACUUUCAUAGGAUGCCACCUUUGCACAAGUCAGUUCAUGAAAUUUCUGCCCUGCUAGAUCUACCCCAGUCAACUGUAAGUGCUAUUAUUGUGAAAUGGAAUUGUGUAGGACAGGGGUUUGGAACUGAGGGCAGCACAUUUUGUUGGUUUCAUUUACCAACUAAACCUGGUAAUCAGAUAAUAACUUGAAUCUGAUGUGCUUGAGUAGGAAAAUUGUAUUGAACAGUGCAGGAAACCUGGCAACUCAGAACUGGAGUUCCCCAUCCUAGGUUUAGAAUAUGCCAUCAUUGACAAAAACAGAUUGUAGAUAUCACAAGCCCUGGUUCCUAUCACCACCACUGUAAAUAAAUCUGACUCUGAAUCUCUACAAUGAAGCUUUUCACAUCAGUCCACUCCGAAUGACUUUGUUCACUUCUCAAACUGUUGAAUUGUGCAGAAAGGGCAGUGGGCUCCCAGAACCAGGGUUAAGAAACAUUAACUUUUCACCAAUGUGAACCUACAAGGUAGCAAUUUCUAAUAAAGUGGCUGGUGAGUGGCACAAUACAGGGGGGCAUUUAAUGUCUAUUUACAUACAACCCUGCUGUGUAAAUGUUGGUGACAUCAAAUUCAAAAUGGACAUACAUAUUUUUCAAAAAACAGUCCCAGUGCACAAAGCAAGGUCCAGAAAGGCAUAGUUGGGUGAGUGUGGUGUGGCCUGGACUGGCCCACACAGAGCCCUGACUUCAACCCCAUCGACCACCUUUGGGAUGAACUAUUCAGAACCAUCAGCCAACUGUGUU